UAAUAAACCAGGUGUUUUCUCUCAAUCUUUAUAUUAAAAAAAAAUUUGAGAAAUCCCUCCCUCUUCGGCCGCCAAUCCCUCCUUCUACUUCUUCGCCGGCGACCUCCAAGAGCAGUAGGUGACGAGCCUCGGACGAUGACAACCCACCUGAACUCACGUUUUUGAAUUGACCCACACUUCGAUUAGCUUCAAAUUAGUUUACCCAUGCCCCAACCUACGAGUUUGAACGUGUUCAGACACCAACCAGCAAGGAUCAGAGCCUUUUAAGUAAGAGUCGGUAGCCAUUUUUGCUGGUGUUACUGAUGAGUAACCAUUUUUGAUGAAAGGUCAAGUUAUGGUUUUGAAGCAGGUGAUGUUUGGCAUUUUGGCAUAGGACAUCAAAGGGUGCUUCUUCCAGAUUAGAUACUUUUAGUUCGAACUUGUUUGUAAUAAGUUGCUUCCACUGAUUUGUGUAAGUUGUAAAAGGUUAUAUUGGUUAUGUUUCCGCGUUUUCGUUAUAGUAGUUGUAUUGAAAAAUACAGGCGGUUACAUAAACAUGCACUAUGUAGAUUGUUUGCAAGGCUGUACAAUUCUGGUGAACAAACUGUUACAGUGUCAGAUUCAAUCAAAAGUAUGUGUAAAACCAUGAUGACAUGCCAUUCGUUGGCGCUUGAGACUGCCCUUGACCAAACUGGGAUUAGGAUUUCACCUGAGAUAGCUGAGGCUGUCCUUAAAAGAUUUGAGAAUGCUGGCAUGUUAGCUUAUAGGUUCUUUGAAUGGGCUUCCAAACAGCGAAACUACGUCCACAGUGUGAGGGCUUACCACUCUAUGAUUGAGUCUUUAGCUAAGAUAAGGCAGUACCAGAUGGUGUGGGAUUUGGUGAAUGCUAUGAGGAAUAAGGAGAUUUUAAAUGUUGAGACCUUUUGUAUUAUUAUGAAAAAGUAUGCUAGAGCUCAGAAAGUAGAGGAAGCUGUUUAUACUUUCAAUGUCAUGGAAAAAUAUAAUAUGAAACGAAAUGUAGCUGCAUUUAAUGGAUUGCUGUCUGCGCUGUGUAAAUCCAAAAAUGUGAGGAAGGCUCAGGAAAUUUUUGAUAAUAUGAAGGACCAAUUUGUUCCUGAAUCAAAAACUUACAGCAUACUCAUUGAAGGAUGGGGUAGGGCUCCGAAUCUUCCAAAGGCAAGGGAGAUUUAUAGAGAAAUGAUUGGUAGCGGCUGCAUACCGGAUGAAGUGACAUACUGCAUUAUGGUCGAUGUUCUUUGUAAGGCCGGAAGAGUCGACGAAGCAGUUGAGAUUGUAAAAGAAAUGGAUAAUAAUAAUUGCGGACCAUCAUCGUUUGUCUAUAGUGUUUUGGUACAUACGUAUGGUGUAGAAAACCGGAUUGAAGAUGCAGUCUCUACAUUCCUGGAGAUGGAAAGAAAUGGAGUUGUGGCCGAUGUGGCUGCAUAUAAUGCUUUAAUCAGUGCUUUUUGUAAAGCAAACAAGAUUAAGAAUGUCUAUAGGGUGUUGAAGGACAUGGACUUAAAGGGUGUUAACCCCAAUUCAAGGACUUGCAACAUCAUUAUAAAUAGCUUAAUAGGCCGUGGUGAGACAGAUGAGGCAUUUAAGAUCUUUCGUAGAAUGGUCAAAGUGUGUGAACCAGACAUAGACUCCUAUACCAUGAUCAUAAAAAUGUUUUGUGCGAAGAAGGAACUUGAUAUGGCUCUUAAAAUCUGGAAGUAUAUGAAGAAGAAGCAGUUUGUUCCGAGCAUGCAUACAUUCUCUGUUCUUAUUAAUGGACUGUGUCAGAUAGGCAAUGCUACACAAGCUUGUGUGCUGUUGGAAGAGAUGAUAGAGAAGGGAAUUCGACCUUCUGGUGCCACAUUCGGAAGGUUGAGACAUUUAUUAAUUAAGAAAGGCAGAAAAGAUGUUCUAAAAUUUCUGCAGGAGAAAAUGAAUUUACUAGUCAAGGAACCAUUAUGUGAUUGAGGAAUCUCGGCUAAUUGGAGCCAUGCUACUUUUCUGUAUAGACUAUUCAGGGAUAGAAGUCUUGGAGCUUGCAGGCUAAAUGUCAUCCAGAUUUUACUUAUUCGAGCCGAAAUGCAAAAGCAGAAAAAGGGUCAGAUAACUUGAGUGGCCAGAUUUCGGUGGUGAAGCCUUGGACUAAGUCUCAAGGCAUUUCUUAACACACCUAGCUCUUCCAAGUGAUUUUUCAGUAAAAAAUCAAGCGAUUUCUCAACAACCAUAUAAGUUGGUGGUUGUGGUUUUCAGGACAAGUCUCAAUGCUUCAAUCAACAGGAUACGUUAAUUGCAUAUCAAAGUGAUUUUUCCACGAGGAAACAUGAUGAAACACGUGAUUUUGUUUUGGUAAGUUUUAUUUAGAAUAGUUUCCAUUGGAGUGAAUGGAAAAUGGCUCUUGAAGUCUUCUCAUUUUGUCCUUGAAAAGUAGAAUUUCCCAAGGGCCCUGCCAUAUUUGUCCUAGGAGAUGCAUAAUAAAUGGAUACUAAUUUGAUAAGUGGAUGUCAUUUGAUUAUGUUUAUUGUUGUUUACUUGUGUUCUAUAAUAUAAUAAAUUGUGAGGUUCGUUGUCAAA
Molecule: RNA transcript, 2547 nt
Organism: Cucumis melo (muskmelon)
Lineage: Eukaryota; Viridiplantae; Streptophyta; Magnoliopsida; Cucurbitales; Cucurbitaceae
Gene name: pentatricopeptide repeat-containing protein At1g77360, mitochondrial
Exons: 4
Source: RefSeq, a predicted model, not a curated record